UUAACAAUCAGAAGAAAGAACCAUAGUGUACAAGUGUGGAGGGGGGAAACCAAUAUUUCUGCCCUUCAGCUCUGGCAGUUUGAGCAAGAUCACGGAAACCUAACUCGAGCAUUUCAUCGGGCAGUAGUGUUGGUCAGCUACACAAGAAAUGCCCGAAAAGAUGAAACUUAUCAUUCUUCCUUCAGUCACUGAACUGUCAUAGAGCUGUCCUGCUUCAUUUUGAUCAGACUGCUCUCGAUGUUCCGAAGCGCUGGUCUAUAGCUGCAAAUCCAGACCAUGACAAAACUCUUGCUUUAGAGCAAAGAUAAUAAAAGUUGGUGAAUUUGACAGUGAAACAGAGGGCCACUCACGCAUGUACGAGACUAUUGUAUGCUUGUGUAGCCUGCUGGAGCUUUGCCGAUAGCUGCAUUACCU
This 414-nucleotide long non-coding RNA is filed under the name Linum usitatissimum (flax). RNAcentral's name for it is "long non-coding RNA (LUSI_LNC001483)". Lineage: Eukaryota; Viridiplantae; Streptophyta; Magnoliopsida; Malpighiales; Linaceae. The record is from RNAcentral.